AGUACUUCAGCCAUUUAAUGAUGCUCUCUCCACACUGGGAUAAAUAAAAACAAACACAUCACAUCUAAUGUGGACAUAUCAGAUGCCUUGUGAAACAUAAAGGAAGAAUUCAGUUUCGAGCUAUGGCACUUGCCGCAUAGAUGUGGGGGGGCCUUCCACCAAUAGUGAUAGUUACCACUGCAUUUAGAAAUUGAAAGCAUUCGUGCAGACAAGGAUGAUUCUUUAUAUUUUUGGCUACCACUUCAAAUGCCUCCACCAAGUGUUACAAUGCUGCACGCAGCCAUACUAAGGAUCUCGCAACAACACCUGCAGGUAAAAAGCAGAAGCAGUCAAAGUGCUGGUGUGUUCUGGACACUAUGUUUGAAAACUUUUAGGCAAGAAGAGUGCAAGAAGCAGACAUAACUGCAUUUAUUUCCAUAACUCCCCAUUUAAAUGGCCUUUUCUUUUUGCUUAGACAAUGCCUACGCCUAGCCACAGCAGCUCCCUCAUACAGACUCCGCAAACCAAGAGGCCGUGGAGGCAAAUGCAGGCAGCCAGCACACCUCGAACAGCCACCUUGACUGCGGGUGUGUCACCCUAGUCGCCAAGGAAACAUUUGAGGGAAAGUGACAGGCAAUGUGAACAGCCACUCCUCCAUGUAAACAAUACUCUUUCUCUCGGAUGACUCCUACGCCUCACCACGCCAGCACACUUGUGCACAAAGAUGCCGCAGAGGCACGUGCAGGUCAGAGGCAAGAAGCAGUGGCACUGGUGUCGACAUUUACCCAAUUUCUUUUUCUUACACUGAGGCAGCCAGCACACCUCGAACAGCCACCUCGACUGCGGGUGUGUUAGUUGAUCCCUGUUGUACAUAUGCUCAUAAUAAACUUCAGUAAACUUGAACUUCAUAAUAAACUUGAAGGCAAAUGGUA
Long non-coding RNA from Dermacentor albipictus, 911 nucleotides. RefSeq lists it as uncharacterized. Lineage: Eukaryota; Metazoa; Arthropoda; Arachnida; Ixodida; Ixodidae. The record is from RefSeq and is a predicted model, not a curated record.